RNAcentral lists this ribosomal RNA (227 nucleotides) under uncultured bacterium. RNAcentral describes it as "partial 16S ribosomal RNA". It matches the Rfam family "Bacterial small subunit ribosomal RNA", at positions 109 to 334 of the family's 1533-position model. The record is from RNAcentral.
AGUAACGCGUGAGGAACCUGCCUCAAAGAGGGGGACAACAGUUGGAAACGACUGCUAAUACCGCAUAAGCCCACGGCUCGGCAUCGAGCAGAGGGAAAAGGAGUGAUCCGCUUUGAGAUGGCCUCGCGUCCGAUCAGCUGGUUGGUGAGGUAACGGCCCACCAAGGCGACGAUCGGUAGCCGGACUGAGAGGUUGAACGGCCACAUUGGGACUGAGACACGGCCCAG